RNAcentral lists this transfer RNA (71 nucleotides) under Rhadinocentrus ornatus. Its description in RNAcentral is "tRNA-Val". It matches the Rfam family "tRNA". Rfam says of the family: Transfer RNA (tRNA) molecules are approximately 80 nucleotides in length. Their secondary structure includes four short double-helical elements and three loops (D, anti-codon, and T loops). Further hydrogen bonds mediate the characteristic L-shaped molecular structure. tRNAs have two regions of fundamental functional importance: the anti-codon, which is responsible for specific mRNA codon recognition, and the 3' end, to which the tRNAs corresponding amino acid is attached (by aminoacyl-tRNA synthetases). tRNAs cope with the degeneracy of the genetic code in two manners: having more than one tRNA (with a specific anti-codon) for a particular amino acid; and 'wobble' base-pairing, i.e. permitting non-standard base-pairing at the 3rd anti-codon position. Lineage: Eukaryota; Metazoa; Chordata; Actinopteri; Atheriniformes; Melanotaeniidae. The record is from RNAcentral.
CAGAGUUUAGCUAAACAGAAUAGCAUCUCCCUUACACCGAGAAGUCAUCCGUGCAAGUCGGAUUGCUCUGA